Molecule: ribosomal RNA, 481 nt
Filed under: uncultured bacterium
Lineage: Bacteria
Description: partial 16S ribosomal RNA
Rfam family: Bacterial small subunit ribosomal RNA
Source: RNAcentral
GAUGAACGCUGGCGGCGUGCUUAACACAUGCAAGUCGAACGAAGCACUUUAUUUGAUUUCCUUCGGGACUGAUUAUUUUGUGACUGAGUGGCGGACGGGUGAGUAACGCGUGGGUAACCUGCCUUGUACAGGGGGAUAACAGUUGGAAACGGCUGCUAAUCCCGCAUAAGCGCCCGGCAUCGCAUGAUGCUGUGUGCAAAACUCCGGUGGUAUAAGAUGGACCCGCGUUGGAUUAGCUAGUUGGUGCGUUAACGGCCCACCACGGCGACGAUACAUAGACGACCUGUGAGGGUGACCGGCCACAUUGGGACUGAGACACGGCCCAAAAUACUACGGGAGGCAGCAGUGGGGAAUAUUGCACAAUGGGCGAGAGGCUGAUGCAGCGACGCCGCGUGAGCGAAGAAGUAUUUAGGGAUGUAAAGCUCUAUAAGCAGGGAAGAUAAUGACGGUACCUGACUAAGAAGCACCGGCUAAAUACGUG